RNAcentral lists this ribosomal RNA (216 nucleotides) under Glomeromycotina sp. RNAcentral's name for it is "partial small subunit ribosomal RNA". The stretch from base 40 to 216 matches the Rfam family "Eukaryotic small subunit ribosomal RNA", at positions 686 to 864 of the family's 1831-position model. Lineage: Eukaryota; Fungi; Glomeromycota. The record is from RNAcentral.
GGGUCAGUAGGUUGGUCGUGCCACCGGUACGUACUGGACUCACUGAUUCCUCCUUCCUGAAGAAUCGUAAUGCCAUUAAUUUGGUGUUGCGGGGAAACAGGACUGUUACUUUGAAAAAAUUAGAGUGUUUAAAGCAAGCUAACGCUUGAAUACAUUAGCAUGGAAUAAUGAAAUAGGACGAUCGAUCCUAUUUUGUUGGUUUCUAGGAUUGACGUA